CUGCUGCUAAGGUUUCCCCUGAAGAUGCAAGAAAAAAGUGACCUUACAUUUUCUGUCUGUCUGAUUGUGGCAGCCAAGAUUGAAUAGGGAAAUACAGAG
RNAcentral lists this small nucleolar RNA (99 nucleotides) under Pan paniscus (pygmy chimpanzee). RNAcentral's name for it is "Small nucleolar RNA SNORA31 (ENSPPAG00000015453.1)". Lineage: Eukaryota; Metazoa; Chordata; Mammalia; Primates; Hominidae. The record is from RNAcentral.